CGUACACUCCUACGGGAGGCAGCAGUGGGGAAUAUUGCACAAUGGGCGCAAGCCUGAUGCAGCCAUGCCGCGUGUAUGAAGAAGGCCUUCGGGUUGUAAAGUACUUUCAGCGGGGAGGAAGGCGAUAAGGUUAAUAACCUUGUCGAUUGACGUUACCCGCAGAAGAAGCACCGGCUAACUCCGUGCCAGCAGCCGCGGUAAUACGGAGGGUGCAAGCGUUAAUCGGAAUUACUGGGCGUAAAGCGCACGCAGGCGGUCUGUCAAGUCGGAUGUGAAAUCCCCGGGCUCAACCUGGGAACUGCAUUCGAAACUGGCAGGCUAGAGUCUUGUAGAGGGGGGUAGAAUUCCAGGUGUAGCGGUGAAAGGCGUAGAGAUCUGGAGGAAUACCGGUGGCGAAGGCGGCCCCCUGGACAAAGACUGACGCUCAGGUGCGAAAGCGUGGGGAGCAAACAGGAUGAGAUACCCGGGUAGUCCCAUGA
RNAcentral lists this ribosomal RNA (479 nucleotides) under uncultured organism. RNAcentral describes it as "partial 16S ribosomal RNA". It matches the Rfam family "Bacterial small subunit ribosomal RNA", at positions 330 to 800 of the family's 1533-position model. The record is from RNAcentral.